AUUAAAAACCAAUGCCCUUCGGGGCUCCCUGGUGAUUCAUAAUAACUUCUCGAAUCGCACGGCCUUGCGCCGGCGAUGGUUCAUUCAAAUUUCUGCCCUAUCAACUUUCGACGGCUGGGUCUUGGCCAGCCAUGGUGACAACGGGUAACGGAGGGUUAGGGCUCGACCCCGGAGAAGGAGCCUGAGAAACGGCUACUACAUCCAAGGAAGGCAGCAGGCGCGCAAAUUACCCAAUCCCGACACGGGGAGGUAGUGACAAUAAAUACUGAUACAGGGCUCUUUUGGGUCUUGUAAUUGGAAUGAGUACAAUUUAAUUCCCUUAACGAGGAACAAUUGGAGGGCAAGUCUGGUGCCAGCAGCCGCGGUAAUUCCAGCUCCAAUAGCGUAUAUUAAAGUUGUUGCAGUUAAAAAGCUCGUAGUUGAACCUUGGGCCUGGCUGGCCGGUCCGCCUCACCGCGUGCACUGGUCCGGCCGGGUCUUUCCCUCUGGGGAGCCGCAUGCCCUUCACUGGGUGUGUC
RNAcentral lists this ribosomal RNA (518 nucleotides) under uncultured fungus. RNAcentral's name for it is "SSU rRNA". It matches the Rfam family "Eukaryotic small subunit ribosomal RNA", at positions 214 to 732 of the family's 1831-position model. Lineage: Eukaryota; Fungi. The record is from RNAcentral.